Molecule: ribosomal RNA, 484 nt
Filed under: uncultured bacterium
Lineage: Bacteria
Description: partial 16S ribosomal RNA
Rfam family: Bacterial small subunit ribosomal RNA
Source: RNAcentral
AUUGAACGCUGGCGGCAGGCCUAACACAUGCAAGUCGAGCGGAUGAAGGGAGCUUGCUCCUGGAUUCAGCGGCGGACGGGUGAGUAAUGCCUAGGAAUCUGACUGGUAGUGGGGGAUAACGUCCGGAAACGGGCGCUAAUACCGCAUACGUCCUGAGGGAGAAAGUGGGGGAUCUUCGGACCUCACGCUAUCAGAUGAGCCUAGGUCGGAUUAGCUAGUUGGUGGGGUAAAGGCCUACCAAGGCGACGAUCCGUAACUGGUCUGAGAGGAUGAUCAGUCACACUGGAACUGAGACACGGUCCAGACUCCUACGGGAGGCAGCAGUAGGGAAUAUUGGACAAAGGGCGAAAGCCUGAUCCAGCCAUGCCGCGUGAGUGAAGAAGGUCUUCGGAUUGUAAAGCACUUUUAGUUGGGAGGAAGGGCAGUAAGUGAAUAUCUUCCUGUUUUGACGGUACCAACAGAAAAAGCACCGGCUAACUUCGUG